AAUUUCCAAAUGUUGCAAGAACUCAAAGAAGUCCAGAAACAGUAAGACAUGGCACAGAUAGCUGGGGCCUGGAGGAUGAUGAAGACAUGGCAAUUAUAAGAUGGAAAGGGAUGAUAAUUGUGCCUCUAAGAAAAAUUUUUGAGAACUGAAUAUAGUCAAAGAGAAUGUGGACUUAAAUGAGCAGAAGCACAUCCCCCUGUAAUAUUUAAAAAAAUUAAUAUGAAUGGAGUUAAUAAUUCUAAUUCUAAUGGAGUGGCAGGCCCAAGAAAAUUGCCUGCAAUUUUAAAUAUUCAGUACUAGCAAAAUAACAGAAUUCACAUAGCAUCAAAGUUGUCCUGCAAGAGGUUGGUACCUAAUGAUGUCUAAAGAAAACGUGGAACUUCCUUAGUUAUUGCAAGGACAAUGUUAUAAUAAAAUA
This 418-nucleotide long non-coding RNA is filed under the name Homo sapiens (human). RNAcentral's name for it is "non-protein coding lnc-ADGRL4-14:1". Lineage: Eukaryota; Metazoa; Chordata; Mammalia; Primates; Hominidae. The record is from RNAcentral.